GAUGAACGCUGGCGGCGUGCUUAACACAUGCAAGUCGAACGAUGAAGCUGGAGCUUGCUCUGGUGGAUUAGUGGCGAACGGGUGAGUAACACGUGAGCAACCUGCCCCUGACUCUGGGAUAACAGCCGGAAACGGCUGCUAAUACCGGAUAUGCACCAUGAACGCAUGUACUGUGGCGGGAAAGAUUUUUCGGUUGGGGAUGGGCUCGCGGCCUAUCAGCUUGUUGGUGAGGUAAUGGCUCACCAAGGCGUCGACGGGUAGCCGGCCUGAGAGGGUGACCGGCCACACUGGGACUGAGACACGGCCCAGACUCCUACGGGAGGCAGCAGUGGGGAAUAUUGCCCAAUGGGCGAAAGCCUGAUGCAGCAACGCCGCGUGAGGGAUGACGGCCUUCGGGUUGUAAACCUCUUUUAGCAGGGAAGAAGCGGGAGUGACGGUACCUGCAGAAAAAGCGCCGGCUAGCUACGUG
This 469-nucleotide ribosomal RNA is filed under the name uncultured bacterium. RNAcentral's name for it is "partial 16S ribosomal RNA". It matches the Rfam family "Bacterial small subunit ribosomal RNA", at positions 28 to 507 of the family's 1533-position model. The record is from RNAcentral.